Melanotaenia boesemani (Boeseman's rainbowfish) is the source of this 220-nucleotide long non-coding RNA. RefSeq lists it as uncharacterized. The record is from RefSeq and is a predicted model, not a curated record. The transcript is spliced from 3 exons. NCBI's taxonomy places the organism in Eukaryota, Metazoa, Chordata, Actinopteri, Atheriniformes, Melanotaeniidae.
GACGUAUUUAAGCAGGCGAGGAGCCAGUCUUGGACAGGGUUCGUCUGGUUGGCAGAUCGCCUGACUUCUGGCUGAUGUGGAGAUUGUUGCUGCGCGUUGAAUUGGCUAUCACCUUGAGACUGCGGUGGGAAACCUGUGUGUUGUGCUGCCUCUCGUGCUGGAACGGCUUCUCUGCGUGACGAGCGCUGGUCAUCCGGGGGAAUUUAUCUGACGGCAUUUU